RNAcentral lists this ribosomal RNA (497 nucleotides) under uncultured bacterium. RNAcentral describes it as "partial 16S ribosomal RNA". It matches the Rfam family "Bacterial small subunit ribosomal RNA", at positions 28 to 507 of the family's 1533-position model. The record is from RNAcentral.
GAUGAACGCUGGCGGCGUGCCUAAUACAUGCAAGUCGAGCGAACAGACGAGGAGCUUGCUCCUCUGACGUUAGCGGCGGACGGGUGAGUAACACGUGGAUAACCUACCUAUAAGACUGGGAUAACUUCGGGAAACCGGAGCUAAUACCGGAUAAUAUAUUGAACCGCAUGGUUCAAUAGUGAAAGACGGUUUUGCUGUCACUUAUAGAUGGAUCCGCGCCGCAUUAGCUAGUUGGUAAGGUAACGGCUUACCAAGGCAACGAUGCGUAGCCGACCUGAGAGGGUGAUCGGCCACACUGGAACUGAGACACGGUCCAGACUCCUACGGGAGGCAGCAGUAGGGUAUCUUCCGCAAUGGGCGAAAGCCUGACGGAGCAACGCCGCGUGAGUGAUGAAGGUCUUCGGAUUGUAAAACUCUGUUAUUAGGGAAGAACAAAUGUGUAAGUAACUAUGCACGUCUUGACGGUACCUAAUCAGAAAGCCACGGCUAACUACGUG